RNAcentral lists this ribosomal RNA (497 nucleotides) under uncultured bacterium. Its description in RNAcentral is "partial 16S ribosomal RNA". It matches the Rfam family "Bacterial small subunit ribosomal RNA", at positions 28 to 507 of the family's 1533-position model. The record is from RNAcentral.
GAUGAACGCUGGCGGCGUGCCUAAUACAUGCAAGUCGAGCGAACGGACGAGAAGCUUGCUUCUCUGAUGUUAGCGGCGGACGGGUGAGUAACACGUGGCUAACCUACCUAUAAGACUGGGAUAACUUCUGGACACCGUAGCUAAUACCUGAUAAUCUUUUGAACCGCAUGGUUCAACAGUGAAAGACGGUCUUGCUGUCACUUAUAGAUGGAUCCGCACUGCAUUAGCUAGUUGGUAAGGUAACGGCUUACCAAGGCAACGAUGCAUAGCCGACCUGAGAGGGUGAUCGGCCACACUGGAACUGAGACACGGUCCAGACUCCUACGGGAGGCAGCAGUAGGGAAGCUUACGCAAUGGGCGAAAGCCUGACGGAGCAACGCCGCGUGAGUGAUGAAGGUCUUCGGAUCGUAAAACUCUGUUAUUAGGGAAGAACAGAUGUGUAAGUAACUGGGCACAUCGUGACGGUACCGAAUCAGAAAGCCACGGCUAACUACGUG